AGUAGACCUUUUAAAUGUUGUUACUUCAUCUGUGUUUUACUUGAGAGACAUAUUAUACACUCGAUGUGGAAAGAACUGAAUUUCUCUUUCAAUACCUACCUAUCACCAUUCAAAUUUUAUCUUCCUCAGCUUUAGGGAUGUAACAUGGCAAGUGAUAAGAAAUGAAUUUUCAGGAUGAGUGACAAGAUGUUGGAGGUGUUUGAUAAUCUUUUUAAACUGGUGCUUUAUGUACAUGAGAUGUACUACUAUAAUUAAGACAACUUUUCUUGCUAGUUAAAUCUCAUAAGCCAGUAAUUUACAAACUUCUUUCUCUGCAUCGUUCUUUGUUGAUGUGGACUAAGUUAACCUUAUGCAAGGUUAGGUUUUAAGUAGUGUACCUUUGUGAUUUUCUAAUGCAUUUUCCAAGGUGCUACAAAUGGUCCAGACUUCUAGGCUUGACAGGUAUAAACCUAGGUAUUUGAAAAUGCUAUUUGCAUCUCCCCUUGAUCACUUAUACCCCAGAAGCAUGCUUUUUAAUAUGAAAGUAUUUUUCAAAAGAGAAACAAAUCCUUGUUGUGAAUCUUAACAUGCUAUUUAGCUGCUGGCUGUGAUGGAUUUUAUUUUUCCUUUAGUCUGGAUCAAGCUGUGUAAGAGACAUUCAUGUUAUUUAAAUCAUGUAUUGUACUGCUGUUUAUAUGGAUGUUUUGUGAGGGUGCUUUGAAAUGCCUUGCAUCAGGGACUAGGAACAACUGAAUUAUUUUUUCAUGGGACUGUGUAAAACAUGUAACUAGGUAUUACUUUGGUAUAUAAUAAUUUGUAGCCUUACACUGGAUUUUUCUAUUUUAGUAGAGA
Long non-coding RNA from Pipistrellus kuhlii (Kuhl's pipistrelle), 831 nucleotides. RefSeq lists it as uncharacterized. The transcript has 2 exons. NCBI's taxonomy places the organism in Eukaryota, Metazoa, Chordata, Mammalia, Chiroptera, Vespertilionidae. The record is from RefSeq and is a predicted model, not a curated record.